Molecule: ribosomal RNA, 515 nt
Filed under: uncultured bacterium
Lineage: Bacteria
Description: partial 16S ribosomal RNA
Rfam family: Bacterial small subunit ribosomal RNA
Source: RNAcentral
GAUGAACGCUGGCGGCGUGCCUAAUACAUGCAAGUCGAGCGAAUGGAUUAAGAGCUUGCUCUUAUGAAGUUAGCGGCGGACGGGUGAGUAACACGUGGGUAACCUGUCCAUAAGACUGGGAUAACUCCGGGAAACCGGGGCUAAUACCGGAUAACAUUUUGAACCGCAUGGUUCGAAAUUGAAAGGCGGCUUCGGCUGUCACUUAUGGAUGGACCCGCGUCGCAUUAGCUAGUUGGUGAGGUAACGGCUCACCAAGGCAACGAUGCGUAGCCGACCUGAGAGGGUGAUCGGCCACACUGGGACUGAGACACGGCCCAGACUCCUACGGGAGGCAGCAGUAGGGAAUCUUCCGCAAUGGACGAAAGUCUGACGGAGCAACGCCGCGUGAGUGAUGAAGGCUUUCGGGUCGUAAAACUCUGUUGUUAGGGAAGAACAAGUGCUAGUUGAAUAAGCUGACACCUUGACGGUACCUAACCAGAAAGCCACGGCUAACUACAUGCCAGCCGCCGCAGUAA